RNAcentral lists this microRNA precursor (60 nucleotides) under Drosophila erecta. RNAcentral describes it as "microRNA der-mir-9682 precursor". Lineage: Eukaryota; Metazoa; Arthropoda; Insecta; Diptera; Drosophilidae. The record is from miRBase by way of RNAcentral.
UAGGGAGGAUACCUGGUGUGUUGUAUUUUAAAAAUCAAUCAUCGGCUAUCUUUCCUAGAA